Molecule: ribosomal RNA, 791 nt
Filed under: uncultured Staphylococcus sp.
Lineage: Bacteria; Bacillati; Bacillota; Bacilli; Caryophanales; Staphylococcaceae
Description: bacterial SSU rRNA
Rfam family: Bacterial small subunit ribosomal RNA
Source: RNAcentral
CCUAUAAGACUGGGAUAACUUCGGGAAACCGGAGCUAAUGCCGGAUAACAUAUAGAACCGCAUGGUUCUAUAGUGAAAGAUGGUUUUGCUAUCACUUAUAGAUGGACCCGCGCCGUAUUAGCUAGUUGGUAAGGUAAUGGCUUACCAAGGCGACGAUACGUAGCCGACCUGAGAGGGUGAUCGGCCACACUGGAACUGAGACACGGUCCAGACUCCUACGGGAGGCAGCAGUAGGGAAUCUUCCGCAAUGGGCGAAAGCCUGACGGAGCAACGCCGCGUGAGUGAUGAAGGUUUUCGGAUCGUAAAACUCUGUUAUUAGGGAAGAACAAAUGCGUAAGUAACUGUGCGCAUCUUGACGGUACCUAAUCAGAAAGCCACGGCUAACUACGUGCCAGCAGCCGCGGUAAUACGUAGGUGGCAAGCGUUAUCCGGAAUUAUUGGGCGUAAAGCGCGCGUAGGCGGUUUCUUAAGUCUGAUGUGAAAGCCCACGGCUCAACCGUGGAGGGUCAUUGGAAACUGGGAAACUUGAGUGCAGAAGAGGAAAGUGGAAUUCCAUGUGUAGCGGUGAAAUGCGCAGAGAUAUGGAGGAACACCAGUGGCGAAGGCGACUUUCUGGUCUGUAACUGACGCUGAUGUGCGAAAGCGUGGGGAUCAAACAGGAUUAGAUACCCUGGUAGUCCACGCCGUAAACGAUGAGUGCUAAGUGUUAGGGGGUUUCCGCCCCUUAGUGCUGCAGCUAACGCAUUAAGCACUCCGCCUGGGGAGUACGACCGCAAGGUUGAAACUCAAGG